Molecule: transfer RNA, 73 nt
Organism: Camelus ferus (Wild Bactrian camel)
Lineage: Eukaryota; Metazoa; Chordata; Mammalia; Artiodactyla; Camelidae
Rfam family: tRNA
About the family: Transfer RNA (tRNA) molecules are approximately 80 nucleotides in length. Their secondary structure includes four short double-helical elements and three loops (D, anti-codon, and T loops).
Source: Rfam
GAGGGUAUAGUUCAAGUGGUAGAGCGUGUGCUUAGCAUGCACUAGGUCCUAGGUUCAAUCUCUAGUACCUCCA